GACGAACGCUGGCGGCGUACUUAACACAUGCAAGUCGAACGGAAAGGCCCUGCUUUUGUGGGGUGCUCGAGUGGCGAACGGGUGAGUAACACGUGAGUAACCUGCCCUUGACUUUGGGAUAACUUCAGGAAACUGGGGCUAAUACCGGAUAGGAGCUCCUGCUGCAUGGUGGUGGUUGGAAAGUUUCGGCGGUUGGGGAUGGACUCGCGGCUUAUCAGCUUGUUGGUGGGGUAGUGGCUUACCAAGGCUUUGACGGGAAGCCGGCCUGAGAGGGUGACCGGCCACAUUGGGACUGAGAUACGGCCCAGACUCCUACGGGAGGCAGCAGUGGGGAAUAUUGCACAAUGGGCGGAAGCCUGAUGCAGCAACGCCGCGUGCGGGAUGACGGCCUUCGGGUUGUAAACCGCUUUCGCCUGUGACGAAGCGUGAGUGACGGUAAUGGGUAAAGAAGCACCGGCUAACUACGUG
Molecule: ribosomal RNA, 468 nt
Filed under: uncultured bacterium
Lineage: Bacteria
Description: partial 16S ribosomal RNA
Rfam family: Bacterial small subunit ribosomal RNA
Source: RNAcentral